RNAcentral lists this unclassified non-coding RNA (369 nucleotides) under plant metagenome. RNAcentral describes it as "partial contains 5.8S ribosomal RNA, internal transcribed spacer 2, and large subunit ribosomal RNA". The stretch from base 1 to 108 matches the Rfam family "5.8S ribosomal RNA", at positions 49 to 154 of the family's 154-position model. The record is from RNAcentral.
CGAAAUGCGAUACUUGGUGUGAAUUGCAGAAUCCCGUGAACCAUCGAGUCUUUGAACGCAAGUUGCGCCCAAAGCCGUCAGGCCGAGGGCACGUCUGCCUGGGUGUCACGCAUCGUCGUCCCCCUCCCACCUGGCGCACUCGCUCGGGUGAGCGUGGAGACGGAGACUGGUCUCCCGUGUGGUACCGCAUGCGGUUGGCCCAAAAUCGAGCCACGGGCGCGGAGCGUCCCGACAAGCGGUGGUGUAUAGAUGCCUCGUGGUAAUGUCGGCUGCUCCCGUCCCUACUGACUCUACGACCCUUAUAGAGCUGCUAUGGCGACUCUCCGAACGCGACCCCAGGUCAGGCGGGACCACCCGCUGAGUUUAAGC